RNAcentral lists this non-coding RNA (90 nucleotides) under Clostridiales bacterium oral taxon 876 str. F0540. RNAcentral describes it as "c-di-GMP-I riboswitch aptamer". It matches the Rfam family "c-di-GMP-I riboswitch aptamer". From Rfam's summary of the family: GEMM was predicted in a large-scale screen for bacterial structured RNA regulatory elements. Genes associated with GEMM are involved in a diverse array of functions, including chemotaxis regulation, signal transduction, secretion and chitin. The record is from Rfam by way of RNAcentral. RNAcentral also lists the same sequence under 1 other name. Lineage: Bacteria; Bacillati; Bacillota; Clostridia; Eubacteriales.
UAUAGAAAAGAGCAAAUUCUUUGAAAAAAGAAGACGCAAAGCUGCGGGUCUAAGGAUUAUAUAUUAAUCUAUGACGGCUGGGUUGCCUAU